AAAAAGAAUAAGAAGUAAAUCCCGAUAUACAUUGCGUUCUCUUCCAUUUUCUCUCUCCAUAAUUCUUGCCUAGGUCUUGCUGUAUUCCCAUCGCGUUUCGGUAUUACCUGUUUCCAAGCAUUGAGUUUCCAGGUACAAGAAGAAUGAGCUUUCAGGAUCUCGAGGCGGGCCGGUCCGCAGGCUCAUUGAGGAAAGAUCUGGCGAAUGGAAUUGCAAAGAAAGACUCCACGCAGGCCGUCGCCUCUGGAAUUUUCCAGAUCAACACCGCCGUCUCGACUUUUCAACGGCUUGUUAAUACGCUUGGGACCCCCAAGGACACGCCGGAGCUCCGUGAGAAGCUACACAAAACAAGGCUGCAUAUCGGGCAGCUGGUAAAGGAUACUUCAGCUAAACUAAAACAAGCCAGUGAAUCAGAUCAUCAUGUUGAAGUUAGCGCCAGCAAGAAAAUUGCAGACGCUAAACUUGCAAAAGAUUUCCAAGCUGUUUUAAAAGAGUUUCAGAAGGCCCAACGGCUUGCAGCAGAAAGGGAAACGGCUUACUCACCUUCUGUUCCACAGACAGUUCCUCCUUCCAAUUACACAGCCCAGGAACUAGACAUAAGUUCAGAUAAGAGUGCAGAACAGCGUGCUCUUCUUGUGGAAUCUAGAAGACAGGAGGUUUUACUGUUAGACAAUGAGAUUGCCUUCAAUGAGGCUGUCAUUGAGGAGAGAGAGCAAGGAAUUCAUGAAAUUCAGCAGCAAAUUGGUGAAGUGAAUGAGAUCUUUAAAGAUCUUGCUGUGCUGGUCCAUGAGCAAGGAGCCAUGAUUGAUGAUAUUGGGACCCAUAUUGAAAAUUCCCAUGCAGCAACUGCACAGGGAAAAUCACAUCUUGUGAAGGCCGCAAAGACCCAAAGAUCAAAUUCCUCUCUGGCUUGCUUGCUCUUAGUAAUAUUCGGGAUUGUGCUCCUCAUUUUGAUCAUAGUACUUGCAGCUUGAUGAGAAGAUUGUCUAAAAACUGAAAGUGGAGAGAAUAUUCAAGGUGUGGUUGGCAACAAGAGGGAUUCAGGAACCAACUCUAUACAGUUUAUGAUGAACAAUAAUUUUGCUGCAAGAUGAGCAAACUAUCCCAAGGAAAGCAGUUAUGGAGAUAAUUGAUAGAAGGAUAAAAUGAAAACAAAAAUUGAUUCGCCACUAAGGUGAUACUGCAAUGUAACUGUACCAAAGAUAUAGCUUUUAUGUAAAUUAGCUUUUGCAUAAAGAAGAUAUUCAUACCACAGCUACUGUUGUGGGCAUGAUAAAAACAUCAUAUUGCUGGUUGGAUAAUGAAGUGCAAUAAUUUUGGUUGA
This is an RNA transcript of Mangifera indica (mango), 1324 nucleotides long. It is a transcript of the gene named syntaxin-22-like, with no coding region annotated. The transcript is spliced from 8 exons. The record is from RefSeq and is a predicted model, not a curated record. Lineage: Eukaryota; Viridiplantae; Streptophyta; Magnoliopsida; Sapindales; Anacardiaceae.